UUGAAGUGUGGAGCUGGUUCAGGUGAAACCUAUUCUUCAUGUUCAGCUUAGGCGAAAACCAUUUUCUGUGUGAGUGUUUUUCGUCGGAGUGAAGAAUGAAGCAUUUCAGGCUUCACAGAAACUUCCACGUGAAGUCUUCACUCUGAUUUCAAAUGUGUUUGAAAAUCUGUCGUUUUCGUGCUUGACCACUUAAUCUAACCGUUGCGAGGCAAAGUGAUAAAGUGUGAGCUGGAGUCUCAGGGAUCACUUUAUCCAACAGGUCACAACGGCUAGAUCAGCCGUGGCCAAGGCUAUAUAAGACGACCCACCCCGAAGGAGUUCGGUGGUGAACCCCAGUGAGUUGUUUUGAAGAACACCUGAUAAAACCCUUAGAACUGAACUGAGCGUGAAGAAUGAGAUCCCCGCUCUAGCCGAGCACUUGAAACUUGUUACUCUUGGUGAUUGGCUUCACCUAGACGGCUAGGAGUCAGUGUUGAAGAGCAAUCGAAGAUUGUGAUUUGCUAUCAACCAGUCUGUGAAGGUCCGGAGAUCACCUCAAGAUCUGCCACGAGGAACUGGGCGAGACUUUGGUCUUAACUCAAGAGGAUUGGGUGGGCUUGUGUGUCCACGAGUCUUGUGUGACUCAGCCCCCUCAACGGAGACGUAGGAUUGUGCCAACAAUCUGAACUUUAGAAAACAAAUCCCUGUCUCUUCAGUCCUGGUGAUUUCGUUCCUCAACUUUUACUCUCUGUUGAACUAUAACUGAUUCAUUGUGUUUUGUCUUCAUUGCUGCUGCUAUAAACUUGUUCAUCUUUCUUCUUUCCGCUGCAACUCUAAAAUUGCUAAGUGUAAUCCCUG
Molecule: long non-coding RNA, 837 nt
Filed under: Brachypodium distachyon (stiff brome)
Lineage: Eukaryota; Viridiplantae; Streptophyta; Magnoliopsida; Poales; Poaceae
Description: long non-coding RNA (BDIS_LNC000234)
Source: RNAcentral